Canis lupus familiaris (dog) is the source of this 304-nucleotide long non-coding RNA. RefSeq lists it as uncharacterized. The transcript has 2 exons. Lineage: Eukaryota; Metazoa; Chordata; Mammalia; Carnivora; Canidae. The record is from RefSeq and is a predicted model, not a curated record.
ACCUAGGAGCCGGCCCCCCACCCCCCCGCCUCUAGCGACCGGAAGUCGGCCGCCAGGCCGGCUCUUCCGCUUCCGUUACGUCACUUCCGGGGCGAGCGGCGGAGGCCGGGAGCGGCGCGGGCGGAGGGCUGUCGCCCGCCCUUCGGCUCGGAUCCCAGGCGUCGGGGGAGCCCGUCGCGAGGGGCGAAGCCUUGCCAUGGGGAUCUGCUGCCUCCCACAAUGCGCCUCCCCAGCAGCAUCAAUGCAUUUGAAUAGCCCAUGCUUGGCAAAGCAACCAGUGAACAGGAUUCCUGUGUCUAACUGG